This 481-nucleotide ribosomal RNA is filed under the name uncultured bacterium. Its description in RNAcentral is "bacterial SSU rRNA". It matches the Rfam family "Bacterial small subunit ribosomal RNA", at positions 30 to 507 of the family's 1533-position model. The record is from RNAcentral.
AUUGAACGCUGGCGGUAUGCUUAACACAUGCAAGUCGAACGGUAGCAGGCCUUCGGGCGCUGACGAGUGGCGGACGGGUGAGUAACGCGUAGGAAUCUGCCUCAUAGUGGGGGACAACGUGGGGAAACUCACGCUAAUACCGCAUACGCCCUACGGGGGAAAGCGGGGGAUCUUCGGACCUCGCGCUAUGAGAUGAGCCUGCGUUAGAUUAGCUAGUUGGUAGGGUAAAGGCCUACCAAGGCGACGAUCUAUAGCUGGUCUGAGAGGACGAUCAGCCACACUGGGACUGAGACACGGCCCAGACUCCUACGGGAGGCAGCAGUGGGGAAUAUUGGACAAUGGGCGCAAGCCUGAUCCAGCAAUACCGCGUGUGUGAAGAAGGCCUUAGGGUUGUAAAGCACUUUCAAUUGGGAGGAAAACCUGUCGGUCAAUACCCGGCAGCUUGACAUUACCUUUAGAAGAAGCACCGGCUAACUCCGUG